AAUCUCAGUUCAGACUGCAGGCUGCAACUCGCCUGCACGAAGUCGGAAUUGCUAGUAAUCGUAGGUCAGCAUACUACGGUGAAUACGUUCCCGGGUCUUGUACACACCGCCCGUCACACCAUGGGAGUCAGUAACGCCCGAAGCCGGUGACCCAACCUAUUCUGGAGGGAGCCGUCGAAGGCGGGACGGAUGACUGGGGUGAAGUCGUAACAAGGUAAC
RNAcentral lists this ribosomal RNA (219 nucleotides) under uncultured bacterium. RNAcentral's name for it is "partial 16S ribosomal RNA". It matches the Rfam family "Bacterial small subunit ribosomal RNA", at positions 1284 to 1500 of the family's 1533-position model. The record is from RNAcentral.